UCGCGACUCUAAGAGAUUAGAGUUUUCGGUUCGGCCGGACGAAACACAGGUGCUGCAUGGCUGUCGUCAGCUCGUGUCGUGAGAUGUUGGGUUAAGUCCCGCAACGAGCGCAACCCUCACUUUUAGUUGCCAUCAUUAAGUUGGGCACUCUGAAAGAACUGCCAGUGAUAAGCUGGAGGAAGGUGGGGAUGACGUCAAGUCCUCAUGGCCCUUACGUGUUGGGCUACACACGUGCUACAAUGGUAUCUACAACAGGAAGCAAGACUGCGAAGUUAAGCAAAUCCCUAAAAGAUACCUCAGUUCGGAUUGCACUCUGCAACUCGAGUGCAUGAAGCUGGAAUUACUAGUAAUCGUGGAUCAGCGUGCCACGGUGAAUGCGUUCCCGGGUCUUGUACACACCGCCCGUCACACCAUGGGAGUUGGUUCUACCUUAAGGCAAGGUUUCAAACCCUUGACCACGGUAUAGUCAGCGACUGGGGUGAAGUCGUAACAAGGUAGCCGUAGGGGAACCUGCGGCUGGAUUACCUCCUUU
RNAcentral lists this ribosomal RNA (532 nucleotides) under Candidatus Pelagibacter sp. RNAcentral's name for it is "bacterial SSU rRNA". It matches the Rfam family "Bacterial small subunit ribosomal RNA", at positions 991 to 1533 of the family's 1533-position model. Lineage: Bacteria; Pseudomonadati; Pseudomonadota; Alphaproteobacteria; Candidatus Pelagibacterales; Candidatus Pelagibacteraceae. The record is from RNAcentral.